Long non-coding RNA from Daphnia magna, 559 nucleotides. RefSeq lists it as uncharacterized. The record is from RefSeq and is a predicted model, not a curated record. NCBI's taxonomy places the organism in Eukaryota, Metazoa, Arthropoda, Branchiopoda, Diplostraca, Daphniidae. The transcript has 2 exons.
AUCCCCACUAAAAAAAACCCGAAUUUUUUCAAAUCAAAUCCAAAUCCUUUAUAAAGAUUUGUUUCGGAUUUUUUUCCUCUUUAGAAUUUUUUUCGUGUACCCCCCAGCCACUGUUUAGUAUUUACCUUUCUUGUCGUCUGCAGACUCUGCACUUGAUCCUCUUACCUCCAUCGUGUUUUCAUGACUUGCGUCAAGUGGUCCAGAUUCUCCUGACAAUGAUUGUCCUUCUGACUUGCGCUUUAGUCCCUUGGGUUAUUGGAAAGUAAACGCCCAUCGAUUACCGUUGUUGGCUUUGAUAGCAAGGGAGCUCUUCGGGGUGCCCACUUCGGGAGGAGAGAUCGAACGGGUCUUUAGCACCGCCACGGACAUUGCAUCGGCUAAAAGAAAUCGCAUUAAGCCUCCUCUCUUCGCGAAAAUGCUUUUCAUAAAGCGAAAUAUGAAACUUAUGAGUCCUGUGACUCCUGUCAAACACAAAUGAUGAAUUGUGGCUAACUCUUUUUUUUUUGCUCUUUUCACCAUUGUCAGUCAGAAUACUCAGAAAUAAAAAGAUUUAAUCCAA